This 254-nucleotide ribosomal RNA is filed under the name uncultured bacterium. RNAcentral describes it as "partial 16S ribosomal RNA". It matches the Rfam family "Bacterial small subunit ribosomal RNA", at positions 524 to 776 of the family's 1533-position model. The record is from RNAcentral.
UACAGAGGGUGCAAGCGUUAAUCGGAAUUACUGGGCGUAAAGCGUGCGCAGACGGUUGCGUAAGUCAGAUGUGAAAGCCCCGGGCUCGACCUGGGAAUUGCAUUUGAGACUGCGUAGCUAGGGUGCGGAAGAGGGAAGCGGAAUUUCCGGUGUAGCGGUGAAAUGCGUAGGAUAAUCGGAAGGAACACCAGUGGCGAAAGCGGCUUCCUGGUCCAGCACCGACGUCAGGCACGAAAGCGUGGGGAGCAAACAGG